ACAAUCUUAAUACAUUCAAUUUCUUAUCUUGUAGCGGUAAAAGAAACUAUGAAUUAUCAAAAUAGAAAAAAUGUGUUCAACAAUGGAGAAAAUAAGGCAAUUAAGCCAGUGUUUGUUCCCUAAUGCAAAAUGUGACAGCUUUCUGGAUCAGUGUGUCAUUCCUUGAACAAGCUCACCAUUUGAAUGAGUAUGCCACUGUACACAUAUAGCGGUAGAUGGUUAGACGACAAAAAAUUGACAUGCAUAUUGGAUAUCUUACUCACUAUAUAAUAUCCUAAUGGUCUAUAUACUCAUUCAUGAGAUGCUUCAUUGGUGUUGUUGCUAUUUAUGUAACAGUUUGAGAAAUAAUAUGAUUAAAGCCAAUGAGUUGAUCACUAAUCAUGAUAUAAGGAUACAGAGAAAGGAAUGCAGUAGCAGACUACUUAGAAAAUUAUGACUUUGAAAAUCAACAAACAACAGUUUAAACAGCAGUAGCAGACUACUCAUGCCAAAAGAUUUGUUAAAAUACGAAAAUCACAACUAUCAGUCAUCAGAAUUACAACACACAAGGAAAGGUAAGAUCAACAAUGAAGAAUCACAAUUCAAGAGUCCCAAUUACUUACAAUUGACAGUGCAAUUGUAGUUUUUUCAAUGUCAGGUGUGGAAACUUUUUCAUAGUAUUUUGUUAUCCAGGGUUCAAUAAACUAUUUCAGAUGCCCAACCUGAGAGUACUUGAUUGGCAAUGUAAUCUCAACAUGAGUAAGCCUUAGAAAUCAAACAAAACCCACAGGCCAUAGCAUCUUGCACACUUAAAGACAUGAUGUUGCAGAGAUAACCACAAGCCUAGUGUUACCUAGAAGGACUACGAUGUGACAUACCAAAGGCAAUAGCCUCAAAAUUCUGUAUAACAAGGAAAUAGAUUUUGAGAAAGACAUACCUGACAUAAUCCCAAUGUUCUUCCUCCCAGAAACAUGGCCUAUAACAGAUGCAGAAAUGAGGGAAAUUUUCAGUAUAUCUGUGAUAGUAGAAGAGAAGAGAGGUUUCCACGGCUCACUACAAUAUUAUCAAAAAACGACUUUAAGAUAACGCAUUAAAACAAUCACAAAAAUUAAUAGCGUAAAGCUUGAGACAAGUAACAGAAACUUGGCUGGAAAAAAUAAAUAAAUUGCAGUAGCUUCAAAAUAGUUGAUAUGCACUCACCUUCAAUUGGAGGAAUUUGAAAUUUUAGUCCGUAACGAUUUCUAUACCAUCAACUCCACCCCUUACCCAACCAUUGUUGUCAUCUUCUAAAUCACGAAUAUUUUCUAAGAUAGUUAAAUCAGUUGUAUCACACUGCAUUGAUGAGUCAAGUUUUUUACUAUUUUCUUCUCCCAUAUCAAAAAUGUCUCGCGGUUUAAUUGACCUAGGGACAAACUAUUCAUGAUCUUCAGGAUCUUGAACAAAUAUCACUUGCUGAGCUUGUCCAGCAAAAACAAAUGGCUCAUCACUUAUCCGGUCACCUGAAUGUAUUAGAUGUGAGAAGUUCACAAGUGUGAAACCUAAGUCGUCUUUCAUAACUCCUCGACCUUGAGUUACAUCAACCCAAUCACAUUUAAACAAGACGACUUUAAAUUUUUCAUAGUAGUUCAACUCAACAAUAUCAUUCAGUCUGCCAUAAUAUGUAAUAUUUCCUGAUUUUGGAGCACUGUCACUAGUACUUGCAUAGCUCUCUGUCAUUGAGACAACCAGAACCCCACUAUUUUGUGUCUGCAUGAACUCUUCAUACUGUUUUGUACGAAAUCGAUACCCAUUAUUCAUAUGGAAUGCCUUGAAUCUUCUUGCGAAGUAACAUGGACCUUGUGCAAGGGCUUUAAUAUCAUUUGAGAUAUUAGAUAUGAGAUCCAACUUUUUGACCUGCCCAAAGAGCAAUAGACAACUGUAGUUACAAAUAUUAGUACAAGAGACGAUACUUUAAAGUAGGUGACUAUUGAAUCUUACUACUUACUUUCUCCUUGAACCAUUCAUGAAAAUUUUCAAAAUGCAAGCGAUUAAGCUGUGUUGGGUAAGGCGGCGUUUGCGAUGCAAUCGUUUGAUUUCACUAAUAUGCUCACUCAUAUUGUCCCAAGCAACGUUGUCUUGCUCUUAACUAGUGAUGGAAGGCUCACUAUGCAAGUAGGUAGCCAGGAAAUCUCUGUCAUCAAUCUAUCUCGAGCCAUUGCUUGAGCUUCCGUGCUGGACACGAAAGACUUUGUGCUCUAUGAUUUAGAUCGCAAUGUCAUUUGGUGAAGUUUUGAUAAUCCAACAAACACAAUUUUACCUGGUCAACAUAUAUCAGCUGGACAAGAGCUGUUCUCGAGUGCCAGAUGAUUUAUUCGGGAUUUUCUGCCUCAAAAUGCAAAAUGAUGGGAACCUUGUUCAGUACCCUGUCGAUACAACAAAUAGUGCCCAAUAUGCUUACUACGCAACAGACUUGCACAAUUCCACUAAUAGGCUAAGAAAUCUAACCAGAGGAGGCUACGUAGAGAAAGGACCACCAUCUAUAUGCUGAAAAUCUAAUACAAGUAGUGCUUAGCACAACACACAAUGCACAGAAUACAACUCUCGCAGCAAACUACAACACAUUACAAUCCUCAUAUAUCACAAUUUCAACACAAAACAAUCAUUAUCAUCCAAUCACAUUCAAGACAAAAGAAUCAGAGCGCAUCGGCAUACCUUGAGGCGGUGACAAAGGGUUAGAAAUCGAUGGCGGACGAAGGAGACGGAGAUGGAAACUACGAAGUCGAAGACGAAGAAGAUGAAACUUCAGAUCAAUUUUGUGAGCUCAGAGCUGUCGCUUCAGAUGGGAAUGGAGAAAGAGAGAUCGAAAAUUUUGGAAUUUGGGAAUUUUGUGUAAGAAAAAGUAUUUAUUUUUAUUGAAUGAAAUAGAAUUUAGCUUUUUUAUUAGAUUUUUUAAGUAAGUGUCGUUAAAAAGUUUACUUUUACCGGCUAAUGGUCAAUUG
RNAcentral lists this long non-coding RNA (2957 nucleotides) under Solanum tuberosum (potato). Its description in RNAcentral is "long non-coding RNA (STUB_LNC007060)". Lineage: Eukaryota; Viridiplantae; Streptophyta; Magnoliopsida; Solanales; Solanaceae. The record is from RNAcentral.